RNAcentral lists this transfer RNA (74 nucleotides) under Candidatus Woesearchaeota archaeon. Its description in RNAcentral is "tRNA-Phe". It matches the Rfam family "tRNA". From Rfam's summary of the family: Transfer RNA (tRNA) molecules are approximately 80 nucleotides in length. The record is from RNAcentral. Lineage: Archaea; Nanobdellati; Candidatus Woesearchaeota.
GGGACCUUAGCUCAGCCUGGGAGAGCACUAGACUGAAGAUCUAGGUGUCGCGGAUUCAAAUUCCGCAGGUCCCA